UCCCUGGAGGUCCAGUGGUUAGGACUCGACACUUUCAAUGCCAUAGCCCUGGGUUUGACUCCUGGUCGGGGAG
This is a non-coding RNA of Bos taurus (domestic cattle), 73 nucleotides long. Lineage: Eukaryota; Metazoa; Chordata; Mammalia; Artiodactyla; Bovidae. The record is from Rfam.